RNAcentral lists this long non-coding RNA (343 nucleotides) under Mytilus galloprovincialis (Mediterranean mussel). Lineage: Eukaryota; Metazoa; Mollusca; Bivalvia; Mytilida; Mytilidae. The record is from RNAcentral.
UAAUACACCUUAUCGCUAUUUAGUCCAUUCCGGGAAAAACAGUCAUUUAUACAACUUCCUGUUUGAGGUCACCGGCCGAAAAACGGAGGUCAUCAGUAGUGAGCUGAGGAAGAAAAAACUUUAGAAAGUGAUCAUCAAGAAACUUUGAUAUUGUAUGAUCCACUUUUUUUCGAAAUUAAAAUUGAAGUAAAAAAAUAUUUUGUUUGAAGUAUUUACGGUAGUUUAAACAGGUCUCAUUAAAAAGUAUCAUGCAUAGUGAAUUGUUUAAACAGGGUCCCAGAUAGCUUCAACUGGAUGAAAAAGUUGUGUAAUUUUAGAACUUAUCCGGAAUGGAAUGAAUAGC